This 30-nucleotide non-coding RNA is filed under the name Mus musculus (house mouse). The record is from RNAcentral. Lineage: Eukaryota; Metazoa; Chordata; Mammalia; Rodentia; Muridae.
UGGGACAGUAGAGCAUCCUUUUUUACACAG